Ascodesmis nigricans is the source of this 95-nucleotide non-coding RNA. NCBI's taxonomy places the organism in Eukaryota, Fungi, Ascomycota, Pezizomycetes, Pezizales, Ascodesmidaceae. The record is from the annotation of a GenBank genome assembly.
GGCUCCGUGGUGUAGUCGGUAGCACACCAGUGUAUGAAUACGGAUGGGACGGUUGUAUGAGUAAGGAGGCGCGGGUUCGAUCCCCGCCGGAGCUA